Molecule: long non-coding RNA, 334 nt
Organism: Tyto alba (common barn owl)
Lineage: Eukaryota; Metazoa; Chordata; Aves; Strigiformes; Tytonidae
Exons: 3
Source: RefSeq, a predicted model, not a curated record
UUUCAGACUUCAAAGCUGAAGAAGAUGAGCUACACUGGACUGAAGCUCAACAAAUUGGACCUAAAUCUGAUCUUGCAGGAAUUUUACUAAAUGUAAUUCAUCUGACCUAAAUAGAGCUACUCCUAAAGUGACAGAACGAGGCCAUAAUUUGUAUAAGCGAGAGACCAGAGAAAUCAGAUUCAGGUAUUUACUUCCAUAGCAGCAACUUGGGCAAAGAACAAGAUUGAAAUCCAUGGCUUUCCCCACACCAGGCUCUCAAGCAGAGAUUCCUCCAGGACUUCCAGCUCCUCCAAGGGGAUUCUCAGCAGCCAGCUGACGUGGCAGAUCAACACCC